UUUUUGUCAUAUUAUUUCCAUUGUUUGUAAAGUGGAAUUGGCCCUGCCAACUUCCUCCUCUCUUCUCUCUUAAUUCCUUCAAUCUUUCCCUUUCAAUCCUAAAUCCGUUGAUUCUGUUCCUGUAUUUGACAUACCUAUUGUUAAUGAGAAGUUGAAGCUCCAAUAAUCAUCUCCAUUCCCUGUUCCAUUCAAAUUCGUCAGGAGUUAAUUCACUUCUGCUGCAACUAAUCUGUCACCAUUGCUGCUAAUUGGUUCAAUACCAUAACACUGAAAUUAUCCAAAAAAUCACUUUGAGCCACCAUUUUCAUCCCUAAUUUGAGCUACCCAAAAGAUUUGUGUAGAUUUUGUGGAGUUGCAGAUAGCAAAAAUCCCUAGAUCGGUGCAGCAAAAAUCCCUAAUCAGGAGGAGGAGCUGCUGCACAAUCGGGUCACCGGAGGCCGCCUAGUGUUACUACUGGUAUCUUACGAACGACGGCAUCGAGUUCCUGAGGACUUACCUCAAUCUUCCCUCUGAAAUUGUUCCUGCUACUCUUAAGAAGUCCGUCAAGCCCCUCGGUCGUCCUAUGGGUGGACCUCCUGGUGACCGCCCUCGCGGACCACCAAGGUUUGAUGGGGAUAGGCCCAGAUUUGGUGACAGGGAGGGGUAUCGUGCUGGUCCCGUGGACCUUCUGAUGAGUUUGGUGGUGAGAGCCAGAUUGAAAAAAUGGGAAGUAGUAAACCAGUAUUAUAUUAUUUAUAUUGCUCCCAUGUUAUAUUAGUAGUAAUAUUUCCCGUUGACUGCAAAAAAAAAAAAAUUGAAAAAAAACAAACAUAAAAGAGAAAGAAGAUGAAGAGAACGCACAGCAAACCGCAAAUCCUAUCUGAGAUAGAAUCCUUCUCAUUCAAUCAAUUUUUUUUUUUUUGCUUUUCCUUUUUCAUCUCCCUUAACCUGGCCGUUUGAGCACAGCCGUUUACUUGUACCAUUUUAAGCUUUUCUUUUUCUUUUUUUGGGAACAAUUUUUUUGUUUCAUCCUGUUGGAUCUUUCUUUGCAGCUGGUGUACGUUCCUUCUACAAGGGAAGGCCGCCCCUGUUAAGUUUCACUGCAGAGAUCUAAUUCUCACCCACUUUUUGCCUGGGCCCGGGAUUUUUUUUUCCCCUGCGCGAAUAUUUUGGCUAGACGUCUACUUGAUGCUGAGGAAGUUAAGUAAACAGCUGAAUGGUGAGGAUUGGAUGUGGAACAACCUAAAUACCUUGUGCUGGGCAAUAGGAUCUAUAUUAGGAUCAAUGAUGGAGGAACAAGUGAAAACAGAUUUCUUGUGAUGGUGAUACGUGAUUUGUUAAACCUUUGUGAGAUUACAAAAGGCAAAGACAACAAAGCAGUUAUUGCAAGUAAUAUAAUGCAAAUGACCGUGAACUCCAGUUUUCCAUGGUUGAUGGUGAUUUCAAGAAGUUUGAAGGAAAAUGGUCUAUCAAAUCUGGUAAAAGGUCGUGCUAACUCCGACACAUUUAGCUAUUGUGAUGGAAUAUGCUGCUGGUGGAGAGCUCUUUGCAAAAAUUUAUAGUGCUGGUGGAUUCAAUGAAGAUGAGGCUCGCUUUUUCUUCAUUCAUUUUGUAAUUGCUGUCUAUUUAAUUUCUAGAUUGCGGAUGUAUGGUCCUGUGGUGUGACAUUUACAAUGCUAUUAAAUGCUCUUGAGGAGAUGAAAAAGGUUGGCAUUUGGAUAUGCUCAUGAAGAUGACUUCAGUUUGACACAAAUUGUUGCUUUAGUCUAUGUUUUUGUUUGGAAAGAGUACUUUGUUUUUUUGGAUGUGUAAUGGCUGUUACUAGUGGAAUUGAUGUGAAUUUAGUACUCUAUUGUUUGGAUGGAUAAUGGUUGUUAGUACUUGAACUAACGUGGGCUUUGGAACCCAUUUUGGUUAAUGUGUGUUGUGAUGAAUUUAGAGAUGUUUAUAACCAUAUAUAUAUAUUUGAGGGUUCAUUGUACA
Molecule: non-coding RNA, 1962 nt
Organism: Coffea arabica (coffee)
Lineage: Eukaryota; Viridiplantae; Streptophyta; Magnoliopsida; Gentianales; Rubiaceae
Source: RefSeq, a predicted model, not a curated record